This is a non-coding RNA of Salmo salar (Atlantic salmon), 3865 nucleotides long. The record is from RefSeq and is a predicted model, not a curated record. Lineage: Eukaryota; Metazoa; Chordata; Actinopteri; Salmoniformes; Salmonidae.
CCUCAACCAAUGAAAACGUGUGGUGACCGCCCCGUUCCUACGGCGUCCAGGAUAAUUAAAUAUAAAACCUGUGUCUCAUUCCCCUUUUUCCUCCUCGUUUAUAGCAUCUGUUGAAUGUUCAGCUAGUCUUCCCGAGUUGAACCGACACCGAAGCUGUGCAGCUCUUCUAGCCAAGCGGUUUCCAUUUACCUCAGUCAUGGCUAGUUACCAUAAACCCGACGAGAAGACCCUGCAGGGGCUGAGAGACAUCGCUAACAAGCUGCGGAUCAACUCCGUCAAGGCAACAUGCGCCUCCAACUCCGGUCACCCCACCACAUGUUGCAGUGCAGCAGAGCUCAUGUCCGUGCUGUUCUUCCACACGAUGCGGUACAAAGCUGCUGACCCACGUAACCAGUGUAAUGACCGCUUCGUGCUGUCUAAGGGUCACGCUGCACCAAUCCUGUACGCUGCCUGGGCGGAGGCGGGCUUUGUGAAGGAGGCUGACCUGGUCAACCUGAGGAAGCUGGACUCUGACCUGGAGGGUCACCCCACACCUAAACUGGAGUUUGUUGACGUGGCAACGGGUUCUCUGGGACAGGGGCUGGGGGCUGCCUGCGGGAUGGCUUACACCGGGAAACACUUCGACAAGUCCAGUUACCGUGUGUACUGCAUGCUGGGUGACGGGGAGUGUUCGGAGGGGGCUGUCUGGGAAGCCAUGGCGUUUGGUUCCCACUACAACCUGGAUAACCUGGUGGCUAUUAUCGACGCGAACCGCCUGGGACAGAGUGAAGCUGCUCCUCUCAAACACGACAUGGACGUAUACCGCAAACGCUGCGAAGCAUUUGGGUGGAACACGUAUGUGGUGGAUGGUCAUGAUGUUGAGGAGCUGUGUAAAGCGUUGUGGCAGGCCCAGCAGGUGAAGGGAAAACCCACCAUGAUCCUGGCCAAGACCUUCAAGGGUAGAGGACUCAAAGGCAUUGAGGACAUGGAGUACUGGCAUGGUAAACCCAUGCCUAAGGACCGGGCCGAGGAGGCGAUUAAAGACUUGGAGGCUCUGAUUCAGAACCCCAACAAGACCAUCUGCCCCGAGCUUCCUAAAGAAGAUACCGCCCCCGCUGACCUUUCACCUAUCAGCCUGCCCUCCCCGCCUAACUACAAGAUUGGGGAUAAGGUGGCUACUCGUAAGGCGUAUGGCGUGGCCCUGGCUAAACUGGGUCAGUCCAGUCAGAGGGUGGUCGCUCUGGACGCUGACAUGAAGAACUCGACCUUCUCUGACAUGUUUCACAAGGCCUUCCCUGAACGCUUCCGUGGAGUGCUUCAUCGCUGAACAAAACAUGGUGAGCGUGGCGAUUGGCUGUGCCACGAGAGACCGCACAGUGGCGUUUGCCAGCACCUUCGCUGCCUUCCUGUCCAGGGCCUACGACCACAUCAGAAUGGCCGCUGUCUCGGAGUCUAACAUCAACUUGGCUGGUUCUCACUGCGGCGUCUCCAUCGGUGAGGAUGGCCCCUCCCAGAUGGCGUUGGAGGACAUUGCUAUGUUCCGCUAUCCCAACAUGCACUGUGUUCUACCCCAGCGACGGCGUCUCUGCUGAGAGGUCUGUGGAGUUGGCUGCUAACACCAAGGGAAUCUGUUUCAUUCGCAUCACCAGACCAGAACUGAAAGUGAUCUACGACCCCGACGAGAAGUUCGAGGUGGGCGUGGCCAAGGUGGUACGUCAGUCGUACAGCGACAAGGUGACGGUGAUUGGAGCUGGAGUGACACUGCAUGAAGCCCUGGCUGCUGCUGACCAGCUGGCCAGCGAGGGAGUGAACAUCCGUGUGAUUGACCCGUUCACCAUCAAGCCCCUGGAUGCUGCCACCAUCGUGUCGAGCGCCCGCAUCACCGGAGGGAGAAUCAUCACCGUCGAGGACCACUACAGAGAGGGGGGUCUCGGGGAGGCGGUGCUGUCUGCAGUAGGGGAGGAGCCUGGUAUCGUAGUGACCCGCCUGGCGGUGAACCGGAUCCCACGGAGUGGAAAACCUCAGGAGUUACUGGACCUGUACGGCAUCAGCGCCAAACACAUCGUCGACUCCGUGCGCCAGACCUUCGCCAACUGAGACGGUGGUCGUCUCAUCGUUUGUCUCCCAAAAUGGCACCCUAUAUUCCCUACGUAGUGCACUACUUUUGACCAGGUUUCCUAUUUGGGCUAGUGCACUAGAUUGGGAAUAGGGUGCCAUUUGGGGGACGUCUCUUUCCCUUAAGUCUGUACACAUUUACCAACUUCAUGUUCUCUGUCUCUCUGUCUCUCUCUGUCUCUCUCUGUCUCUCUCUGUCUCUCUCUGUCUCUCUCUGUCUCUCUCUGUCUCUCUCUGUCUCUCUCUGUCUCUGUCUGUCUCUGUCUCUCUCUGUCUCUCUCUGUCUCUGUCUCUCUGUGUCUCAAACCCCCUACUUCCCUCCCAUCUACCACUAGUGUUAAACAGAACAGGGCUGUCUAGCGCCCCUUGUGGCUGGAAGGCAGAGUGCAGCUCUGUCCUGCUGUACUGUAUAGUGUUGCAGCAGCAGAGCCAAUAGGCCAGCUCUCAGCGGGGAGGGAUAAGUGGAUGGUAAUAUGCAGUAAUGUUUCUAGAUAAACUCUUUACCCACCUUAAUGCAUCCUCCUUCUAAUCAACCGUCUAAUUUAGUUUUCUGCUAAACUGUAAUGGAGCAAUAAGGCCUGAAGGGUUUAUGAUAUAUGGCCGAUAUACCACGGAUAAGGGCGGUUCUUAGGCACGACAUAUUGCAGAGUGUACAGCCUGGAUACAGCCCUUAGCUGUGGUAUAUUGGUCAUAUAUCAUAACCCCUGAGGUCUUACUGCUGUUUAUUAAUAUAACAGUAAAAUGACAUGUUUGAUCAUAGCUGUGGUAUAUUGGUCUGGUUCCACGGCUUUCAGGGCUCGACCACCUGCUUUCUAGUCCCCCUUGAUGUUAGUGAUGUAGCUGACUGACGGUUACUGUAGGGGUCAGUCCCAUAUGGCGUACCGUUCACGAUCUAGGGAAGUGGAUCUGGGGCCCAUCUUGGGUAUAGGAGGAGGUUUGUUUUGAGCUUGUGGUGUUCUCUGCUCGUCCAGACGAUGCUGAACUCUCUGUUUCAAAUGAAACUAAAUGUGUUUCUGUUCACAUCUUUCUGUUUCUCGGUUGGUCUCUUUUACAUUCCAGCUGCUAACAGUCAUCUUCAUCUCGUUCCAUGUGUUCUAAUGGUUCUGCAUUCCAUGUGUUCUAAUGGUUCUGCAUUCCACGUGUUCUAAUGGUUCUGCGUUCCACGUGUUCUAAUGGUUCUGCGUUCCACGUGUUCUAAUGGUUCUGCGUUCCAUGUGUUCUAAUGGUUCUGCAUUCCAUGUGUUCUAAUGGUUCUGCGUUCCACGUGUUCUAAUGGUUCUGCGUUCCACGUGUUCUAAUGGUUCUGCAUUCCACGUGUUCUAAUGGUUCUGCGUUCCACGUGUUCUAAUGGUUCUGCAUUCCACGUGUUCUAAUGGUUCUGCGUUCCAUGUGUUCUAAUGGUUCUGCGUUCCACGUGUUCUAAUGGUUCCGCCUGCUUGAUAAUGAACCUCUCCGUAGCGCUGUUAGACACCAUGCCAGCUCCACCAGGAACUGAAUGGUUCAUAGCCUUAAUUAGCAGUGAAACUGAUGCAGGAAAUGUACAUUCAAUGGACCUGAGUUCUAUGUAAUGACUUGUUGUAAACUUUAAACUGCUAUAUGACCUACUGUGUUCUUCUAGGCUGGUUGUGGUGAUGACCUGGCUCGUGUUGCUUUCUGGGUAUUAUCUGACCUCUCGUAUCUCUGCACAGUCAUGUCUGAUGCUGCCAGUCAAUGGUUGGUUGGUUUGCGUUGCCAUGGUAAUGCUAAAAUAAUAAACUACAACUUGACCCAA